CCCUUAGAUGUUCUGGGCCGCACGCGCGCUACACUGAUGCAUUCAACGAGCCUAUCCUUGACCGACAGGUCCGGGUAAUCUUUGAAUCUGCAUCGUGACGGGGAUAGAUUAUUGCAAUUAUUAAUCUUCAACGAGGAAUGCCUAGUAGGCGCAAGUCAUCAGCUUGCGUCGAUUACGUCCCUGCCCUUUGUACACACCGCCCGUCGCUCCUACCGAUUGGGUGUGCUGGUGAAAUGUUCGGAUCGGCCGUUUGUCGCGGUUUCCGCGUCAUGUGGCUGAGAAGUUUAUUAAACCCUCCCACCUAGAGGAAGGAGAAGUCGUAACA
This 325-nucleotide ribosomal RNA is filed under the name uncultured eukaryote. Its description in RNAcentral is "partial 18S ribosomal RNA". It matches the Rfam family "Eukaryotic small subunit ribosomal RNA", at positions 1470 to 1796 of the family's 1831-position model. The record is from RNAcentral.